CCUACGUGAUGCAGCAGUGAGGAAUAUUGGUCAAUGGGCGGAAGCCUGAACCAGCCAAGUCGCGUGAGGGAUUAAGGCCCUGCGGGUCGUAAACCUCUUUUGCCGGGGAGCAGUGGUCCGGACGCGUCCGGACCGGGAGAGUACCCGGAGAAAAAGCAUCGGCUAACUCCGUGCCAGCAGCCGCGGUAAUACGGAGGGAGCAAGCGUUAUCCGGAUUUACUGGGUGUAAAGGGCGUGUAGGCGGGCAUGCAAGCCAGAAGUGAAAUCUGGGGGCUUAACCCCCAAACUGCUUUUGGAAGUGCGUGUCGUGAGUGAUGGAGAGGCAGGCGGAAUUCCCAGUGUAGCGGUGAAAUGCGUAGAUAUUGGGAGGAACACCAGGGGCGAAGGCGGCCUGCUGGACAUUAACUGACGCUGAGGCGCGAAAGCGUGGGGAGCAAACAGGAUUAGAUACCCGAGUAGUC
This 461-nucleotide ribosomal RNA is filed under the name uncultured bacterium. Its description in RNAcentral is "partial 16S ribosomal RNA". It matches the Rfam family "Bacterial small subunit ribosomal RNA", at positions 338 to 795 of the family's 1533-position model. The record is from RNAcentral.